This 563-nucleotide unclassified non-coding RNA is filed under the name Hevea brasiliensis (rubber tree). Lineage: Eukaryota; Viridiplantae; Streptophyta; Magnoliopsida; Malpighiales; Euphorbiaceae. The record is from RNAcentral.
CUGCUGCGGCUCUGUCCCAUCUGCUGGUAGAAUUGGCUUAAAGCCUGAGAAUUAAACACCCCGGUAUGCCCAUCCUGAGAAAGCCCAAGCUCUAAACCUGGAACUUGCAGAUUAGUACCAUUAAACAUGGAGUAAAAACUCAUCAAACCCAUGUUAAUAUUUGGAAAUUCUACACCAUGGAACCCAAAUUUUGGCAAAGUAUUGGAGUUUUCAUUUCCUAAAUUGGGUGUUGACUGGCUUGCAUUUGAAAUAAAACCUGCCCCAAUUCCACCCACUGAGGGCCACAUCCCACUUGCUACGUUAGAUCUUCCCAAGUUACUACUCAUCAUUGUCCAAUUGGCCCUUUCUCUGGACCCAAUGCUCGGUCCCAGUCCUUCCAUCUUUGUAUGCAAUCCUGAAGAAACAGAGAUUCCAUGUUGAGAAACAGAAGCCCCUGCAGCUGCAAGAGUCGAGGAAGGAAUCGUCCCAGUACCAGUUACAGCAAUAAUCGAUGGUUCAGCUUGCUGUAAGAGCCAUUGAAUUGUUUCUCCAUCGGAUUUAUGACCCAAUUCUCUUGUCAAUUG